UCUGGUAUAACAUCAACUGAAUUCACCAAAAAGAAAAAAGCCUCGAUAGGUUUUUAGAGCAGCCUUCCAUAUGUAACUGAGCCAAAUUUGGUAGAAAAUAGAUAAAACCAAACUGAAAAAGUCUGGGGGGGGGGCAUCUAAAAACUUCGUAAAAAUCCCCUUCUGAGAAAAAUGUAGCUUGAAAUUUGGAAAGCAAAAUCAGCGGAGAAACAUUCACUAAACAAAACCGCCAUUAGUAAAUUAACAAAAGUAGCCUUAUUUAAGUAUUCACAGAUCAUUUUCUAGGUAUAAGAUAUAAACAAGACAGUAUCCUUUUGGAAUUUUACCUUUUGGAUCCAUGCUUUCAUCGGAAGCAUAGAUUGUCGUUAAUACUUAACAUAAAGGACGCCUGAUCACAGUUUGCACACUGAAAACUAUGCCUAGUUUAAUAGGACAGACACUCACCAAAGAGCUAGAUAGACUCUUUUUCUUUUACUAACAGCUAAUGGUUUUUAACCUCGCAAAUUUUUUCCCGAAAAAUGAAUACAGAUAACUGCAAUGUACAACAUCAAAUAGUUGUCGGAGACAAAAUUGAGCAAUCACUUGUCAGUGUAAUUAUCCUCAAGGCAUAUAAAGGUUUUUACUGCAUGUAUGCAAGUUGUCGGUGUUCUCAGCCUUGAAACUUUUUUCCGCCGUUGUUGCAGUUUCGUAUUGUCACUGCUCUAUUUCUUUCUUAUCUUUAGCUUUGGCAGGCCCUCCGUCUUUUACUGGACGCAGGCCUCCAUAGCAAGGGCAUGACUCGCCGAGAAGGACUGGAUCUAUUGGCCAAUUAUGCUUGGGAGACGUCCGAUGUUGCACGCAAAGAAAUAACUCGAUACCAGUCUGGCCUGGGUUAGGCUAGCGCGUACACGAUUGGUCAGCUGAUGAUUCGGAAGUUAAAGGACUACGCAGAGAUGACGUCCAAGGGAAAAUUUGACCUAAAGGACUUUCAUUACCAGAUUCUCAACCAAGGCUUUGCGCCGAUGAGUUUCCUCGAGAGGCAUAUCCAGCAAUAUGUCGCCUGCAAGUUAGACGAUAAAUCUCUUGGAUGCGAGCUCAUCUUGCAGCCAUUAGGCGUUGAAGUGACAACGAAGCGAAAAAGCCAUGCCGAGAUCCAACUUUCCUCAAAAUAUUUCAGUUUUUUCAACCGGCCGUAUCCAAGGAGACUUUAUGUUUCAUGAGCUUACAAAAUUUAAGUAUGUUCAGUACUUCUAGUUAGCCAUCAUAGCCAUUCUUCGAGUUUACAAAGGAAAUCCAAUCGAAAAGAAUACGGGGUCAUCAGUAAGUGCUUUCACUGGCAAUACCCCAAAGGAUCAUUAAGUGCAUUUGAAUUUUUUUCUUGAUUUCCAACUUUUUUCAUACAUUUCUCCUAACUGACUUUUAUACGUUGUCAAUUACGUUCGUUAUUUGUAUCCACAGUCAGUACUCCGUUUACCAGUUCAACUAUUUAUCUCGCGUUAAACGAAAAACCUCAAAGUUUUUAACUCUGAGGAGCUUAUUCGUCAAUGAGUAGAGAAUUUCAUCCACUCUCGCUAACAAUCGAAGCCAUUUCGGGUAAUUAUAACUUGCAAGCUGUACUAAACGGAACGCAAAGGAAAUUUUCUUCUCCUUGUUGUGAGUGACGUACCAAUCGGACCGUUUUCAUAUUCUUCUUGGCCUGCUUGCACAUAUUUUCAACAUCGUCCAAGUCAUCAAAGUACUUGUCACAUUGUUUUUUAAGUUCAUAAAAUUGUCUUUGCAAUUUGUCGAUCUGUCUUUCCUUCUCAUCAGAUAGAUAACUUGCUCUUGCCACAAAGCUUUCGCUGAUAACCGAAGCCAUUGCGAGUACUUUUCGCUUACAAAGUUUUCUAGCUUAGCAAAUGUACUAAACGGAACGCAAGGGAAAUUCUCAUCUGCUUGUUGUAAGUGACGUAACAAUCGGACCUUUUUCUAAGCGCGUGCUCUGUAAGUCGAAACGCGUUCGCGUAUUAUCCAGCACAAGGAAUAACAGAAAGAAACAAAGAGGAAAGACCAUGGCUCUUCCUGUCAUAAUAGUCCUUGAGGAAUUUUGUAAGAAGAAAAAUCAAAAGGCUGUAACACUACUUUAGUGAUCAAGAUAAGGAAUUUAUUAU
This 2129-nucleotide long non-coding RNA is filed under the name Pocillopora damicornis (cauliflower coral). Its description in RNAcentral is "uncharacterized LOC113665262". Lineage: Eukaryota; Metazoa; Cnidaria; Anthozoa; Scleractinia; Pocilloporidae. The record is from RNAcentral.